Molecule: ribosomal RNA, 594 nt
Filed under: uncultured soil bacterium
Lineage: Bacteria
Description: bacterial SSU rRNA
Rfam family: Bacterial small subunit ribosomal RNA
Source: RNAcentral
GCUGGCGGCGUCUUAACACAUGCAAGUCGAACGAGGNUCUUCGGUGUAACAAUACANUGUUGGUCCUAGUGGCGCACGGGUGAGUAACACGUGGGUGACCUGCCCUUGAGCUCGGGAUACCCCCUCGAAGGGGGGGCUAAUACCGGAUACGUUCCUCGGUCGAAAGACUGAGGAGGAAAGGUGGCGCAAGCUGCCGCUCUUGGAGGGGCUCGCGGCCUAUCAGCUAGUUGGCGGGGUAACGGCCCACCAAGGCUAUGACGGGUAGCUGGUCUGAGAGGACGACCAGCCACACGGGGACUGAGACACGGCCCCGACUCCUACGGGAGGCAGCAGUGGGGAAUUUUCCGCAAUGGGCGAAAGCCUGACGGAGUGACGCCGCGUGUGGGACGAAGGCCUUCGGGUCGUAAACCACUGUCAGUGGGAAAGAUGGGUGUCGAUGCUAAUACCAUCGGCAUCUGACGGUACCUGCAGAGGAAGCCCCGGCCAACUCUGUGCCAGCAGCCGCGGUAAGACAGAUGGGGCAAGCGUUGCUCGGAAUUACUGGGCGUAAAGGGCGCGUAGGCGGGACGGUAAGUCGGUCGUGAAAUCCCUCGG